This 369-nucleotide unclassified non-coding RNA is filed under the name Zea mays. RNAcentral's name for it is "misc RNA Zm00001eb045400". The record is from RNAcentral. Lineage: Eukaryota; Viridiplantae; Streptophyta; Magnoliopsida; Poales; Poaceae.
AAAAAACAUGCGAUAAUCCAGGUCCAUGUCUCAAGAAAAUGGUCUUUCCAUGGUGCCACUGAAAAUGGUCCCUUGCAGCACAUCGACAUGGUCCUAUCAGAUUGCAAGGGUAAUAGUAUGUAUGCUGAAAUACCAGCAAAUCUUGCCGAAGAAAAGGGAGCACUCAUCGAAACAAAUCAGAUCUACGACAUCAGUCGUUUUAGAGUUACUGCAGCAAAAACAGCCUACAAACCCAUUGAUGGUGACAAGAUGAUACAAUUUACGAUUUACACAAUUAUCAAGCCUGCAAGUAACCCACCACCUACAUUUCCUUUAUAUAUCUAUCAAUUAACUCCAUUUGAUGAGAUUGAAUCUCAAAUUCAGCACAAG